Molecule: long non-coding RNA, 1961 nt
Filed under: Homo sapiens (human)
Lineage: Eukaryota; Metazoa; Chordata; Mammalia; Primates; Hominidae
Description: HSALNT0259633
Source: RNAcentral
CGGCCGGGCAGAGACGCUCCUCACUUUCCAGACUGGGCAGCCAGGCAGAGGGACUCCUCACGUCCCAGAUGAUGGGCGGCCAGGCAGAGACGCACCUCACUUCCCAGACGGGGUAGCGGCCGGGCAGAGGCUGCACUCUUGGCACUUUGGGAGGCCAAGGCAGGCGGCUGGGAGGUGGAGGUUGUAGCUGAGAUCACGCCACUGCACUCCAGCCUGGGCACCAUUGAGCACUGAGUUAACGAGACUCCGUCUGCAAUCCCGGCACCUCGGGAGGCCGAGGCUGGCGGAUCACUCGCGGUUAGGAGCUGGAGACCAGCCCGGCCAACACAGCGAAACCCCGUCUCCACCAAAAAAAUACGAAAACCAGUCAGGCGUGGCGGCGCGCGCCUGCAAUCGCAGGCACUCGGCAGGCUGAGGCAGGAGAAUCAGGCAGGGAGGUUGCAGUGAGCCGAGAUGGCAGCAGCACAGUCCAGAGGGAGACCGUGGAAAGAGGAGAGGGAGAGGGGGAGGGGGAGGGGGAGGGAGCUAUUUUGUAUUUUUUUAGAAACAGAGUUUUGCUCUGUUGUCCAGACUAGAGUGCAGUGGCCUGAUUAUGGUUCACGGCAGCGUUGAACUCCUGGGCACAAGCCAACCUCCUGCCUCAGCCUCCCUAGCAGCUGGAACUACAGAUGUUUGCUACAUCUGGCUUACUUUUUUAUUUUUUGUAGAGACAGGGUCUCGCCAUGUUGCCCAGGCUGGUCUUGAACUCCUGGGCUCAAGCAAUCUUCCCACCUCGUCUCCCAAAGUGCUGGGAUUACAGGCUCAUGCCAUCGCACCCAGCCAUCAUUUUAUUUACUUAUCCAUUCGAAGUAAAUUGUAAACAUCAGUAUUUGUCACCCCUAAACAUUUCAGAAGUACAUCAUUAGCUAGAGUACAAUAUUUGUUUAUGAUUCUUUCCUUGUGGUAAGCUUUGCGGAAAGAUUCUUUGUUUAUAUUGGUGAAAUGCACAAAUCUAAAAUGUACAGUUGGCUGGGCACAGCGACUCACGCCGGUAAUCCCGACACUUUGGGCGGCUAGGGCAGGAGCAUUGCUUGAGCCCAGGGAGUCGAGAUCAGCCUGAGCAACAUAAGGAGACCCCCGUCUUUAUAAAUAUAUAUAUUUUUAAUUAGCUGGGCAUGGUGGUGCACACCUGUGGUCCCAGCUACCUGGGAGGCUGGAGUGGGAGGAUCACUUGAGUCCCAGAGGUUGAGCCUGCAAUGAGCUGUGAUCACACCACUGCACUCCAGCCUGGGCAAUAGAGUGAGAUCCUGUCUCAAUAAAAACAAAAAUAAAAAGAAUUUAAUAAAAUAAAAUAUACAGCCAAUGAGUUCUAACAAAUGCACAGAGCUGUGUGACCUAGGGUAUGGAACAUAUCCAUCACUCCAGAAAGUUGCUUUAGACAUGCAAACAUUUAAACUUAGUUUGAGUCAUGCUAAUAACCGGUUUUACAGCAUUUUAUCCAAUUAAUAAUAUAGAGGGUUUAAUUCGUCACUUCAUGGUUUGUCCUGAAGCUUGCUAACCCAUUACAUCAGAAAGCCAACCCAGCUAAUUUGAAAGUGGAUGAGUCAGUGACUGGUGAAUAAGUAAACACGAGAGUGAAUAAAGAAUAGAUGGAUGAAUGAAAAUGUAAAGAAAUCAGCUGGGGGCAGUGGCUCACGCCUGUAAUCCCAGCACUUUGGGAGGCCAAGGUGGGUGUAUCACGAGUCAAGAGAUUGAGACCAUCCUGGCCAACAUGGUGAAACCCUGUUUCUACUAAAAAUACAAAAAUUAGCUGGGCAUGGUGGCGCAUGCCUGUAGCCCCAGCUACUCAGGAGGCUGAAGCAGGAGAAUCACUUGAACCCAUGAGGCGGAGGUUGCAGUGAGCUGAGAUGGCACCACUGCACUCCAGCCUGGCGACAGAGCAAGACUCCGUCUCAAAAAAAGAAAGAAAAAAAAGAAAGAAA